UACGGAGGGUGCAAGCGUUAUCCGGAAUCAUUGGGUUUAAAGGGUCCGCAGGCGGUCUAAUAAGUCAGUGGUGAAAGCCUACAGCUCAACUGUAGAACUGCCAUUGAUACUGUUAGACUUGAAUUCGGUCGAAGUGGGCGGAAUGUGACAUGUAGCGGUGAAAUGCUUAGAUAUGUCACAGAACACCGAUAGCGAAGGCAGCUCACUAGGCCUGGAUUGACGCUCAGGGACGAAAGCGUGGGGAGCAAACAGGG
This 254-nucleotide ribosomal RNA is filed under the name uncultured bacterium. RNAcentral describes it as "partial 16S ribosomal RNA". It matches the Rfam family "Bacterial small subunit ribosomal RNA", at positions 524 to 777 of the family's 1533-position model. The record is from RNAcentral.